RNAcentral lists this ribosomal RNA (130 nucleotides) under Limosilactobacillus reuteri. RNAcentral describes it as "Lactobacillus reuteri partial 16S ribosomal RNA". The record is from RNAcentral. Lineage: Bacteria; Bacillati; Bacillota; Bacilli; Lactobacillales; Lactobacillaceae.
UAUUUUAUAUGAGAGUUUGAUCCUGGCUCAGGAUGAACGCCGGCGGUGUGCCUAAUACAUGCAAGUCGUCAGCACCUGCCCCACUCAUGCAUCGUGCUUGCCCCGGAUGUUCUAUGGCGCACCCGUGGGU